This is a long non-coding RNA of Peromyscus californicus insignis, 1413 nucleotides long. RefSeq lists it as uncharacterized. The record is from RefSeq and is a predicted model, not a curated record. The transcript is spliced from 3 exons. Lineage: Eukaryota; Metazoa; Chordata; Mammalia; Rodentia; Cricetidae.
GCUUAAUUUUAAAAGGCAAAGUCAGCUAAUUCAAUCAGCCACUUUAUUUACCCCAAUUCAUUUAAACGGUGAGCAUACACUUCUAAAAAUUAGGCCUAUCUUCAAAGAAGGAAGAUUUAGCCCCGGUUAAUCUUGCUAUGGACAGUUUGCCAUAGAGAUGUCUGUGAUAUUUAGAGACAGCAACUGAUGGAAUAGAUGGGUAGCUUCUGUUACGUCUUCCUUUUUAAAGCAUGAGCUCUCCUAAAAGCAAGGUUGGCAUAUCUGCCACAGACAUCGUGUGGGAGCCUCCACCGUUUCAACGUGUGCAUACGUAAUCCUGAGAGGAGUUGCUAACUGGCCUGGCUGUUUAAGUCCACAAUGGUAAACAGUGGGAGAAUAGCCCUGACCUGCGCAUCUGCCAAGAAUUCAUAUCAUAGCUAUUCAGCAUGUCUGUGACAUGGAUACAAGGCACAACCCUCAUCUUCCUACAGAAGCCAGAGACUAAUCCACAACUUGACACAACCUACAGUCACCUGGGAAGAGAGUAUCAAUCAUGUGAUGAUCAGCCAUGAAUGACCAUGAAGCUUUAAGAACUCCAGAGUCACUUGAAGAUAUGAGAGUUAAGACCAAAAUUCGUAAAUAUUUACUGAUGGUUUGAAUGAGAACUGCCCUCAUAGGCUCAUGUAUUUGAAUGCUUGGUCCCUAGUUGGUGGACCUCUUUGGAAGGGUAAGGAGGUGUGGCCUUGCUGGAGGAGGUUUGUCACUGGGGGUGGGCUUUGAGGUUUCAAAAGCUUACACCAAAUCUAGUCUCUCACUCUCUGCCUCCAACUUGCAGAUCCAAUGUAAGCUCUCAGCUACUGCUCAGUGCCAUCCUUGGCUGCCUGCUAUGGUCAUGGGCUCACCUUCUGAAACUGUAAGCAAGCCCCCAAAUAAAUGCUUUCUUCUAUAAGUUUCCUUACUCGUGGCGUUUCUUCCCAGCAACAGAAAAGUAACUAAGACACCUGCCAACUAUGUCCCAGACAUGUGGGUGGCUCCAAACUCAGAGAGAACCCAGAAACUCAAGGAGUGGAUAACCAAGUGCCCUGAUAGCUCCAAAUAGGAGCUCGGGGGGGCUGUCCGUGAGCCUCAGUGGCUGAACAUGUGCUUUGCAUGCCCAGAUCCAGGAUUUAAUCCACAAUAAAACACAGAGAUUUGUUUCUGAAGAACUGCCUUGAACAUCUCACUGAAGUCCAUUGCUAGCCCCUUGCUCACUGCCCUGAGCUCUCCCAGUACUUGGCACCCUUCAUUUGCAACUCAUAUUUCAAAGUGAAACCCGCUAAGCUUAGUCAACAGGCACAGGAUUAGCCUACUUUGGGGCUGCAGGGACAGCUAGGAGGCAACGGCUCACGGCAUCAAAGUUCUCAAGACAGCGGGUUGAACUUGCAGGGUCACUGC